RNAcentral lists this ribosomal RNA (253 nucleotides) under uncultured bacterium. RNAcentral describes it as "partial 16S ribosomal RNA". It matches the Rfam family "Bacterial small subunit ribosomal RNA", at positions 524 to 776 of the family's 1533-position model. The record is from RNAcentral.
UACAGAGGGGGCAAGCGUUGUUCGGAAUUACUGGGCGUAAAGGGCGCGUAGGCGGCCUGCUAAGUCGGAUGUGAAAUCCCUCGGCUCAACCGAGGAACUGCAUCCGAUACUGGCGGGCUUGAAUCCGGGAGAGGAAAGUGGAAUUCCUGGUGUAGAGGUGAAAUUCGUAGAUAUCUGGAGGAACACCGGUGGCGAAGGCGGCGUCCUGGACCAACACUGACACUGAUGAGCGAAAGCCAGGGGAGCAAACGGG